Molecule: unclassified non-coding RNA, 330 nt
Filed under: soil metagenome
Description: partial contains 5.8S ribosomal RNA, internal transcribed spacer 2, and large subunit ribosomal RNA
Rfam family: 5.8S ribosomal RNA (bases 1-120)
Source: RNAcentral
GAUGAAGAACGCAGCGAAAUGCGAUAAGUAAUGUGAAUUGCAGAAUUCAGUGAAUCAUCGAAUCUUUGAACGCACAUUGCGCCCCCUGGUAUUCCGGGGGGCAUGCCUGUUCGAGCGUCAUUUCACCACUCAAGCCUUGCUUGGUAUUGGGCAACGCGGUCCGCCGCGUGCCUCAAAUCGACCGGCUGGGUCUUCUGUCCCCUAAGCGUUGUGGAAACUAUUCGCUAAAGGGUGUUCGGGAGGCUACGCCGUAAAACAACCCCAUUUCUAAGGUUGACCUCGGAUCAGGUAGGGAUACCCGCUGAACUUAAGCAUAUCAAUAGCGGAGGA